Molecule: ribosomal RNA, 1335 nt
Filed under: Triticum aestivum (bread wheat)
Lineage: Eukaryota; Viridiplantae; Streptophyta; Magnoliopsida; Poales; Poaceae
Description: partial small subunit ribosomal RNA
Source: RNAcentral
UGUUCUGGGUCAAGCUAAGUAAAAAAAAUCAAGGGCAUAUCAAGGGCAUAACAGAUUCAAGUCAACAAAAAUUAAUAUGUGCAUGUGAUAGGAAAGAUCACAGGAAAUAGACUACCCUGAUCAAGUAUACUAUAACAUCGAAAAAGUCAAACAAGCUCAUUGUGCAUUUUAUUUUUUAGUGUGAGACACAAUAAGCAUAAGUAGCCACUAGCAAAAUAACAUGCUAUCUACAUGCCCUAUUAUCCGCAACAAUGACAUUAGGCGAUGAAGAACAAUAUAUUUCCAAUGCAAUAUGUUAGCCAAACACACCCUGCCACGCCAAUCAUCUCAUGAUCCAAUAAAAUGUCUAGAAAAAUCUAUUGAAUGGCAUCAGUCCAGAUUUAUAUCUGGUGUGCUAGUAAAUCUGGACGAUCGAUGAACAUCAAACAUAUCAAGAAAAACAGUACAUCAAGGCAUCGACCUAAUUUCAGUAAGCAAAUCAACUAAAUUUAAAGAGCUAGAUGGCAGCUAAAAACUAACUCCAGAUCUAUCUAUAUUCUUAUAUAUUGUAUGAAUAAGCUAACAACUAACUCCAAAUAUAUCAAUACUCUUAUAUAACUCUGAAUCUAGAUGACAGCAAAUUAACACAAUUUAAAGAGCUAGGUGACAGACCAUUGUGGGAGUUGACUAUAAGCCACGCUCUUCCACUCGCAUCAGAUGUAGCCUAGCUCACACUACUCUAUGCAGUCGUCGACGCCAACUAUGCAUUCACAGCCGCUCUCACUCGCUGCUUUUGCUGGUCUCCUGUUGCAUAUGGGGCUGCCAUAAAGUGCUAAACAUUCAUCAGUCUCCAACAGAGAGUAGAAUAGGAACACAGUAGGUGCUACUAUCGUUGUUGUUGUUGGUUGGUUGCUCAAAUAACUCAGUUUAUGUUACUGCUCGAGCAGGUUGGUAGGCAGGCCAUGGAAGCAUAUGAGAUGACAGAAUAUUCAGGGUCAAUUAUGCAACAGUAGUAGAAACCGAAAUCUAGAACUAAACUAACAUAAUUAAUCACAACAAGAUGGCAUGCUUAGAAAUCUACAACUAAGCUAAUAAGAACUUUAAAUUAAAAGAGGAGAAGAAAAGGUUCAGGAAUCAGAUGUUCCACUGCCGACGCUUUGGCUGUCGAGGUCAAGGAGGUCGUGUCCAUGGCCACGCCAUCGACCCGAGCUCCAACCCAGCAUUCACCGCAGACCCGUCUUGGUGCUCGAAGGAGACGAACGCUUCAGAUCCCUCUUGGCUCCCAUAUGACUACGGUCUACUCCUCCCUCACCCGCCUUGCUAUGGCUUCGGGGUGGUAGGCCAGGCCGUCUCACU